RNAcentral lists this transfer RNA (67 nucleotides) under Liriomyza huidobrensis (pea leafminer). Its description in RNAcentral is "tRNA-Ser". Lineage: Eukaryota; Metazoa; Arthropoda; Insecta; Diptera; Agromyzidae. The record is from RNAcentral.
GAAACAUGAAGCUCAACAAAAAGCUGCUAACUUUUUCUUUUAAUGGUUAAAUUCCAUUUAUAUUUCU